RNAcentral lists this ribosomal RNA (440 nucleotides) under uncultured bacterium. Its description in RNAcentral is "bacterial SSU rRNA". It matches the Rfam family "Bacterial small subunit ribosomal RNA", at positions 360 to 793 of the family's 1533-position model. The record is from RNAcentral.
AAUAUUGCACAAUGGGCGCAAGCCUGAUGCAGCCAUGCCGCGUGUAUGAAGAAGGCCUUCGGGUUGUAAAGUACUUUCAGCAGUGAGGAAGGUGGAUAUGUUAAUAGCAUAUUCAUUUGACGUUAGCUGCAGAAGAAGCACCGGCUAACUCCGUGCCAGCAGCCGCGGUAAUACGGAGGGUGCGAGCGUUAAUCGGAAUUACUGGGCGUAAAGCGCAUGCAGGUGGUUUGUUAAGUCAGAUGUGAAAGCCCGGGGCUCAACCUCGGAAUUGCAUUUGAAACUGGCAAACUAGAGUACUGUAGAGGGGGUAGAAUUUCAGGUGUAGCGGUGAAAUGCGUAGAGAUCUGAAGGAAUACCGGUGGCGAAGGCGGCCCCCUGGACAGAUACUGACACUCAGAUGCGAAAGCGUGGGGAGCAAACAGGAUUAGAUCCCCUGGUAG